GAAUUUUAUUGGACAGUUAAUGUUUAAUUAUAGCAAAAACAGCGGUGAAGCAGAUAGGAUAAAAUUGUAAAAUACAGCAAAAUACAUAAUGGCAAUAAUUGCAAGUUUCAUUUGUAAGCUUGUUUUUAUAAUAACAAUAUCUACAUCAUUAUCGGAGCCAUUGUUGCGAGGCAGUAUGACGUCAGCAGAUUCUUUAAAUAGAAUGUUAUCAAAGAAAUCUGCUACGGACCUUGCUAACACUGUUUUGCUUGCACCAAAUACUUGUCUACCAACUGAUGACUUCAAUAUAGAUUUGGAAAAUCUUAUACAAAUGGAGCUAUCUAGAAUGCAAAGUUGCAUUACCCAUCACGACUCAGAAAGAAACAUCAACAAUUAAAGGUGACUGGUUGAUACAAAGAAGAUGUGGACUUUGGUUAAUGCUUUUAUCGUCAAACAUCCUUUUCAAGAGUGGUUUUCUUUCAUUAAAAAAAUAAAAAAUAAAAUUACAAUUUAAAAUGACACUUUUGAAGAAUUAAAAGAC
This is a long non-coding RNA of Ruditapes philippinarum (Manila clam), 520 nucleotides long. RefSeq lists it as uncharacterized. The record is from RefSeq and is a predicted model, not a curated record. The transcript has 4 exons. Lineage: Eukaryota; Metazoa; Mollusca; Bivalvia; Venerida; Veneridae.